This 847-nucleotide long non-coding RNA is filed under the name Salvia miltiorrhiza (redroot sage). RNAcentral describes it as "long non-coding RNA (SMIL_LNC001252)". The record is from RNAcentral. Lineage: Eukaryota; Viridiplantae; Streptophyta; Magnoliopsida; Lamiales; Lamiaceae.
UUUUUUUAUUUGUCGUUUUUUUUUCUACAAUUUUUUUUCCUUUUUUAAAAUUGAUUUUUUUUCCUUCUUUUAUUUAAAUAAUUUUUUGAUUUUAACUUUUUUUACUAUAUAAUUGAUAUAGUUUUGAUAUAGUGUCAUUUUGAAAUGUUAAAGUGUCGUUACUAAUUUUAUAUUGUUGUUUGAAAUCUUAAAGUGUCAUUCCAAAUGUUUUAGUGUCAUUUGAAAUAUUAUAGUGUCAUUUCAAAUCAUGUAGUGUCAUUCGAAAUCUCAUAGUGUCAUUCGAAACGUUAUAGUGUCAUUCAAAAUAUUAUAGUGUCGUUCGAAAUCAUGUAGUGUCAUUCGAAAUCUCAUAGUGUCAUUCAAAACGUUAUAGUAUCAUUCGAAACGUUAUAGUGUCAUUCGAAAUCAUGUAAUGUCAUUCCAAAUCUUAUAGUGUCAUUCGAAAUUUCAUAGUGUCAUUCGAAAUCAUGUAAUGUCAUUCGAAAUCUCAUAGUGUUAUUCAAAAUCUUAAAGUGUCAUUUUGAAAUGUUAAAGUGUCAUUUCAAAUGUUAAAGUUUCGUUCGAAAUCUUAAAGUGUCAUUCGAAAUGUUAAAGUGUCAUUCAAAAUGUUAUAGUGUCAUUCGAAAUAUUAUAGUGUCAUUUUGAAAUGUUAAAGUGUCAUUUCAAAUGUUAAAGUUUCAUUUGAAAUUUUAAAGUGUCAUUCGAAAUAUUAUAGUGUCAUUCGAAAUUAUGUAGUGUCAUUCGAAAUACUAUAGUGUCAUUCGAAAUCAUGUAGUGUCAUUCGAAAUCUCAUAGUGUCAUUCGAAAAUAUAAUUUUAAAAAAAUGAAAAAAAAGAAGAAGAAGAAA